CUUAUCCUGGGGUGUGCGGCAGUUCCAUCUAUUUUUGAACCUACAUUGACGUGAAAGGGUUCCCUAUGAUUGCCGUGCGGAUGUCAGGCCUCCUUGCAGAGGAAGGCUGAAGUACGGUUGCGGUUACCCACCUUGGCUUGUGAGCUAGGGAGUCAAAAAGUGGGGCACCGGCAUUCUGGGGGUUGA
Molecule: non-coding RNA, 186 nt
Filed under: Lachnospiraceae bacterium
Lineage: Bacteria; Bacillati; Bacillota; Clostridia; Lachnospirales; Lachnospiraceae
Description: 6S RNA
Rfam family: 6S / SsrS RNA
About the family: E. coli 6S RNA was the first non coding RNA to be sequenced, but its function was unknown until recently. It consists of 184 nucleotides that fold into an extended hairpin structure with a large single-stranded internal bulge.
Source: RNAcentral